GAUGAAGAACGUAGCGAAAUGCGAUAAGUAAUGUGAAUUGCAGAAUUCAGUGAAUCAUCGAAUCUUUGAACGCACAUUGCGCCCGCCAGUAUUCUGGCGGGCAUGCCUGUCCGAGCGUCAUUUCAACCCUCAAGCCCCCGGGCUUGGUGUUGGUGAUCGGCGAGCCCCCCGGGGCGCGCCGUCUCCCAAAUAUAGUGGCGGUCCCGCUGUAGCUUCCUCUGCGUAGUAGCACACCUCGCACUGGGAAACAGCGUGGCCACGCCGUAAAACCCCCCACUUCUGAAAGGUUGACCUCGGAUCAGGUAGGAAUACCCGCUGAACUUAAGCAUAUCAAUAAGCGGAGGA
This 345-nucleotide unclassified non-coding RNA is filed under the name soil metagenome. Its description in RNAcentral is "partial contains 5.8S ribosomal RNA, internal transcribed spacer 2, and large subunit ribosomal RNA". The stretch from base 1 to 120 matches the Rfam family "5.8S ribosomal RNA", at positions 35 to 154 of the family's 154-position model. The record is from RNAcentral.